This 3930-nucleotide long non-coding RNA is filed under the name Mytilus galloprovincialis (Mediterranean mussel). Lineage: Eukaryota; Metazoa; Mollusca; Bivalvia; Mytilida; Mytilidae. The record is from RNAcentral.
CCACUACACUAAUGUAUCUUUUCUCUCCUCUCCUUAUCCUUCUCCUUUUCUAAUAUUCUUUCUAUCCCGCUCUAUAUUCUUUCUGUCCCACUCUAUAUUCUUUCUAUCUCACUCUAAUAUUGUUUCUCUCCAUCGCUACAUCCUUUCUGUCCCAUUCUAUAUUCUUUGUCACUCUAUAUUCUUUUUGUCUCGCUCUAAUAUUGUUUCUCUCUAUCUCUAUAUCCUUUGUGUCCCACUCUAUAUUCUUUGUCCCUCUAUAUUCUUUCUAUCUCACUCUAAUAUUGUUUCUCUCCAUCUCUAUAUCCUUUCUGUCCCACUCUAUAUUCUCUGUUCCUCUAUAUUCUUUUUGUCCCACUCAAUUUUGUUUCUCUCCACCUCUAUAUCCAUUCUGUCCCCUUCUAUAUUCUUUGUCCCUCUAUUUUCUUUCUAUCUCACUCUAAUAUUGUUUUUCUCCAUCUCUAUAUCCUUUCUGCCCCACUCUAUAUUCUUGGUCCCUCUAUUUUCUUUCUAUCUCCCUCUAUAUUGUUUCUCUCCCUUUCUAUAUCCUUUCUCUCUCUAUAUAUCCUUUCUCUAAAUUCAAUCUUUCUCGUUCUUAACAACCUAUUUAAGAAGUACCAAUUGUCAGAUACUGCUUGUGGAGGAAUGGAUAAUUUUUCGGAUCAACUAUGUUUUUUUUUGUCCAUCAAUAAUGUCAAUAUAAAGAUGUUGUCACUAAUUUUUUGAACAGAAAAUUGCACAAGAGAAUCUCAUUCCAUAUUAUUACAAAAUUGACAGGCUGGCAGACUUCUGUUACAUCAAGGUGACAGACUGGCAAACUUCUGUUACCUCAAGGUGACAGGUAGACUUCUGUUACUUCUUGGUGACAGGCUGGCAGACUUCUGUUACUUCUAGGUGACAGGCUGGCAGAUUUCUGUUACAUCAAGGUGACAGGCUGCCAGACUUCUGUUACUUCUUGGUGACAGGCCAGGAUUUCUGUUCAAUCAAGGUGACAGGCUGGCAGACUUCUGUUACUUCUAGGUGACAGGCUGGCAGACUUCUGUUACAUCAAGGUGACAGGCUGCCAGACUUCUGUAACUUCUAGGUGACAGGCUGGCAGACUUUGUAUCUUCUAGGUGACAGGUGCCAGACUUCUGUAACUUCAGGUGACAGGCUGGCAUGUAAGGUGGACAGGCUGGCAGACUUUUCUGGUGAUGCUUCUAGGUGACAGGCUGGCAGACUUCUGUAACUUCUAGGUGACAGGCUGGCAGACUUCUGUAACUUCUAGGUGACAGGCUGCCAGACUUCUGUAACUUCUAGGUGACAGGCUGGCAGACUUCUGUAUCUUCUAGGUGACAGGCUGCCAGACUUCUGUAACUUCUAGGUGACAGGCUGGCAGACUUCUAUCUUCUAGGUGACAGGCUGGUAGCUUCUGUACUCAAGGUAACAGGUGCCAGACUUCUUAACUUCUAGGUGACAGGCUGACAGACUUCUGUUACAUAAGGUGAAGGCUGGUAGACUUCUGUUAUCUCAGGUGACAGCUGGCAGACUUCUGUUACAUAAGGUGACAGGCUGGCGACUUCUGUUACAUCAAGGUGACAGGUGGCAGACUUCUUUAGAUUAGGUGAAGGUGCAGGGUGCCAAACUUCUAGACUUCUGUAACUUCUAGGUGACAGGCUGGCAGACUUCUGUAACUUCUAGGUGACAGGCUGGCAGACUUCUGUAUCUUCUAGGUGACAGGCUGGCAGACUUCUGGUUACUUCUGUUACAUCAAGGUGACAGGCUGGAGACUUUGUUACAUCAAGGUGACAGGCUGGCGACUUCUGUACAUCAAGGUGACAGGCUGCCAGACUUCUGUAACUUAGGUGACAGGCUGGCGACUUUGUACUUCAGGUGACAGGCUGCCAGACUUCUGUAACUUCUAGGUGACAGGCUGGUAGACUUCUGUUACAUCAAGGUGACAGGCUGCCAGACUUCUGUAACCUCUAAAUGACAGGCUGGCAGACUUCUGUAUCUUCUAGGUGACAGGCUGCAGAACUUACUUGUAACUUCUAACAGGCUGAGACAGGCUGGCAUAAUCAACAGACUUUCCUGUAACUUCUAGGUGGAACUUCUAGGCUGGCAGACUUCUGUUACAUCAAGGUGACAGGCUGGCAGACUUCUGUUACAUCAAGGUGACCAGGGGCAGACUUCUAACUUCUAGGUGACAUCAGACUUAGUUGGACCUGACUCUGUUACAUCAGGUUGGCAGACAAAGGCUGGCAGACUUCUGCAAUACAAUAACUUCUAAUUGGUUGUAUCUGUAAACUUCUAGGUGAACAGGCUUCAAGACUUCUGUUCUUCUAGGUGACAGGCUGCCAGACUUCUGUAAACUUCUAAGGUGACAGGUAUGACUUCUGGUUACAUAAAAAGGUGCCAGGCUGGCAGAUCCUUCUGUACAAUCAACACAGGCUUUUGUUACAUCUAAGGUGACAAAUGGCAGACUUCUGUGGGGGGGUGACAGGCUGUUUUCCAUUAUACUAAGGUGACAGUAGGUUGACUUCUGUUACAUAUCAAGGUACAGCUGCCAGUGAUUUUGAAAUUUUCUGAUAUGAACUCAUAUAAAUUCCUCUCAAUACUAUCUUCGGAUUGUAAAGAAGCUUCUGCCCAAGUUUGGUAAAAAUCCAGGUUGGUUUACGAUAGUUUAAAAUUAAAAUUUCAAAAACUUUUAACCAGAGUGAAUAUUUGUGGAUGCCGCCAACGCUGAUGGAGCGUUGGCGGACUGUAGGAUCAUUAUGUCUUGCUUUUUUGACAAAAGUUGAAGGCUGGACAAAAAUCACAUCUCUAUACAUGAAAGUUCAAGGUUAAGGUACAUAGAUAUAUUUUUCUGAGACGUAUAUUCCCGUGUGGAUGAUGAAUAAAUUACAGGCUGGCAUACUUCUGCUACUUCUAGGUGACAGGCUGCCAGACUUCUGUUACAUCAAGGUGACAGGCUGCCAGACUUCCAUUACAUCAAGGUGACAGGCUGGCAGACUUCUGAUACAUCAAGGUGACAGGCUGGCAGACUUCUGGUACUUCAAGGUGACAGGCUGCCAGACUUCUGUUACAUCGAAUGACAGGCUGGCAGACUUCUGUUACAUCAAGGUGACAGGCUGCUAGACUUCUGUUACAUCAAGGUGACAGGCUGGCAGACUUCUGUAACUUCUAGGUGACAGGCUGGCCAGACUUCUGUAACUUCUAGGUGACAGGCUGCCAGACUUCUGUAACUUCUAGGUGACAGGCUGCCUGACUUCUGUUACAUCAAGGUGACAGGCUGCCAGACUUCUGGAACUUCUAGGUGACAGGGAACACUUCUGUAUCUUCUAGAUGACAGGCUGCCAGACUUCUGUAACUUCUAGGUGACAGGCUGGCAGACUUCUGUUACAUCAAGGUGACAGGCUGCCAGACUUCUGUUACAUCAAGGUGACAGGCUGCCAGACUUCUGUUACAUCAAGGUGACAGGCUGGCAGACUUCUGUAACAUCAAGGUGACAGGCUGCCAGACUUCAGUAACAUCAAGGUGACAGGCUGCCAGACUUCUGUUACAUCAAGGUGACAGGCUGGCAGACUUCUGUUACAUCAAGGUGACAGGCUGCCAGACUUCAGUAACAUCAAGGUGACAGGCUGACAGACUUCUGUUACAUCAAGGUGACAGGCUGGCAGACUUCUGUUACAUCAAGGUGACAGGCUGCCAGACUUCUGUAACUUCUAGGUGACAGGCUGGCAGACUUCUGUAUCUUCUAGGUGACAGGCUGCCAGACUUCUGUAACUUCUAGGUGACAGGCUGGCAGACUUCUGUUACAUCAGGUGACAGGCUGGCAGACUCUGUUACAUCAAGGUCAAGGUGACAGGCUGCCAGACUUCUGUUACUUCUAGGUGACAGGCUGGCAGACUUCUGUAACUUCUAGGUGACAGGCUGGCAGACUUCUGUAACUUC